This is a long non-coding RNA of Scatophagus argus, 335 nucleotides long. RefSeq lists it as uncharacterized. The transcript has 3 exons. NCBI's taxonomy places the organism in Eukaryota, Metazoa, Chordata, Actinopteri, Scatophagidae. The record is from RefSeq and is a predicted model, not a curated record.
AUUUAAUGUCAUUUGACAAAAUCAUUUGCUGUGGACAGGACAGGGACAACAGACCACAGCAGCAGACACAAGAAUCUGACUGAGCCUCAGAUCCCCGUCCAGGAACCGGUGCCUCCACAAUGUGGUCUGGGACGAGUAGUUUCUCUGGGACAAUUUGUGGUGGUCAACGGGACGAAGACGCUGCUAUUGUCAGCUUAUCUGGAGCACCGCUCGGCACCAAAGAAGGUUCGUGUUAUUGCAGUGGUGCUGAGGAGCGAGCAGGUAGAUUAUCGCUGCCUUCUCUGUUGUCAGGAGCAAACGCUCAUCUCUACAGGGAUCAGGAACAUCCACAGCGA